AUGGGAAGAGAGUGAGAUUACUCCAUACCGUGUAAGGCACACAAUCAACAAGGCAUUGUGGAGCUGCAGCCCAGCGGAUCUCUUAUCUCAGGUAGUUGGGGGGGAACAGCAGGUACUGUGGAGCCCCCCCCCCCCUCUCUUUCUCUCUCAGUGUAUGCUCACUCACAGGUAAGAGACCAAAUCCCAGUCACUGUAAAACAGUGACUGGUCUGCCAAGAAUAAGGACACUAUUUACUUCAUUAACAUCUCGAACCUUACCCUCAGUUUAGCCAUAUUAUUAUUUUACAUUUGGAGACAUUAGUCUCUGUGUUUUAAUUAUAUUAGUCUCUGUGCUUUAAUUAUACUUUCCUCCAUUUUGGUCCACAUUGCGCAUUGUCUCGCCAUGAGUCAGUAGAAAUGUCAGGGUGUUGGCUGCUGCUCUGCCAGACAGACAGCCUAGAGCUGGGUAAUUAGCCAGAGUCGUUUGGGGCAUGUGGCUCUGCAGAACUAGAUGCCCACUGUGCACAGGGAGACACCAGACAACCUUUAGUCUGCCCCGUCCCACUGCAGUCACUUAAAACACUGAUGUAUGUCCCCCCUCUCUGCCUCUAUCUCCCUCUCUCUCUUUUUUCUUGUUUCUAUUUUUUUUUUAAAUGUACCUCUCUUUCCCUCUCACUCUUUAUUUCACUCUCUCUUGUGUUCUCUGUCUCCCUCUCUCUCUCUCUCUCUCUCUUUCUCCCUCUCUGUCUCUGUUUCCCCAGGACGAAAAGAAGUAGGUAGCCAAGGUGUAAGGGACGGGGUGGCUGAAGGGCGGCGUUCCUCAGACGGAGCAGAGCCGAACGCUCUCUCCUCCUCUCCCCUUGUCAUUGGUAUGCAGUGGCUGUUCCCCAGGCGACAGGGCCACUGGGUUCGGGCUGAGCUUACUGCAAGAGGAAAGUCAGCGACACAGAGGAGAGGAGGACAGCAGACUGUGCUCAGGGAGCAGUGCGGCCAGGCUGCAGAUAUCAUCCAUCUCCCUGUCACUGGCCCAGGGGCUGCUGGGAAGGCAGCAGACAGCUCCUCGGCUCUGACGAUGGGAGCUGCAUCCUAAUUCUUCAACUCUGAUCGCUCGGAACACUCGCUCCUCCGCCGCCACCCAGGGUGAUACAUCUGGGAACAAAGCACAGAGCUUAGCCAGUCCACCAGAGCCUGCUGCUAGCAUCAUCUCCAUUACUCCUAAUAUUUAACCAUUUCUCACAGAUCACACCCUCACUGGGCAUUGUGUUGUUACUGAGGUGAAAGAUAAGAGUGUUUUUUAACCCUAGAUUAUAGAAGAAUCUCAGUAAGAAUAUAAAGUAAUUGUCAUAAACAUCCUUUAGAUAUACAGUAUCUCAAGCAUCAUAAACUUCUACUUGUUCAUAUCAUGCGUACAGUGGAUAUGUUCUAAGAUACUCAGAAGAACCUCUUUAUACACAGUUCCACAGUAAAUUUGACUUGGUAAAGUAUUCAUAUACUACAUACAAAACAAUAAAGACCUUGUA
Molecule: long non-coding RNA, 1499 nt
Organism: Oncorhynchus kisutch (coho salmon)
Lineage: Eukaryota; Metazoa; Chordata; Actinopteri; Salmoniformes; Salmonidae
Source: Ensembl